UUUCCGUAGGUGAACCUGCGGAAGGAUCAUUAUCGUACAAAAUGUGAGGCGCAUACCAAUUCUGUCGCUGUGCCAAAAGUCGUGCACGCCCCAGUGUGUCAUCUAGCGUAAUAAGCCAUCUAACCCUUUGUGCAUCACCACACUGGCAACCUUCGGUAUCAUCUCGGAGGCAUGCUCGCGUUUUGACACAAACCCCCCGUUUAAAAGUGUGAAAUGACCACAUUUAUUCCAUUAAUACAACUUUCCACAACGGAUCUCUUGACUCUCGCAUCGAUUAAA
Molecule: unclassified non-coding RNA, 279 nt
Filed under: plant metagenome
Description: partial contains small subunit ribosomal RNA, internal transcribed spacer 1, and 5.8S ribosomal RNA
Source: RNAcentral